Molecule: unclassified non-coding RNA, 100 nt
Organism: Cavia porcellus (domestic guinea pig)
Lineage: Eukaryota; Metazoa; Chordata; Mammalia; Rodentia; Caviidae
Rfam family: Y RNA
About the family: Y RNAs are components of the Ro ribonucleoprotein particle (Ro RNP), in association with Ro60 and La proteins. The Y RNAs and Ro60 and La proteins are well conserved, but the function of the Ro RNP is not known.
Source: Ensembl
AGCUGAUCCAAUGGCAGUGGGUUAUCAGAGCUUAUUAACCUUAGUGUCACUAAAGUUGGUAUACAACCCCCCCCCCACUGCUAAAUUAGAUUGGCUUAAA